This 2994-nucleotide ribosomal RNA is filed under the name Oscillospiraceae bacterium OttesenSCG-928-F05. RNAcentral's name for it is "23S ribosomal RNA". It matches the Rfam family "Bacterial large subunit ribosomal RNA". The record is from RNAcentral. Lineage: Bacteria; Bacillati; Bacillota; Clostridia; Eubacteriales; Oscillospiraceae.
GGUCAAGCUACAAAGGGCGCAAGGGGGAUGCCUUGGCACUGGGAGCCGAUGAAGGACGCGACAAGCUGCGAUAAGCCACGGGGAGGAGCAAAUAUCCGUCGAUCCGUGGAUUUCCGAAUGGGGAAACCCGCGAGAGCAAUACUCUCGCACCAUGCACUGAAUCCAUAGGUGUAUGGAGGGAACCGCCUGAACUGAAACAUCUAAGUAGGGCGAGGAAAAGAAAUCAACCGAGAUUCCGCUAGUAGUGGCGAGCGAACGCGGAGGAGGCUAAACCGGGGGACUUUUAGUUCUCCGGGGUUUUGGACAGCAUUUAGCAUUCACAAACUUUAGCAGAACGGCAUGGGAAGGCCGGCCAUAGAGGGUGACAGACCCGUACGCGAAAAGGUGAGUGAGCGAGCUGUAUCCAGAGUACCACGGGACACGUGAAACCCUGUGGGAAGACGGGUGGACCACCAUCCAAGCCUAAAUACUACCCAGUGACCGAUAGUGAAGCAGUACCGUGAGGGAAAGGUGAAAAGGACCCCGGGAGGGGAGUCAAAUAGAACCUGAAACCUUGCGCCUACAAGCACCGAGAGCCCGUUAAUGGGUGAUCGGGUACCUUUUGUAGAAUGGUCCGGCGAGUUACUGUAUGCAGCGAGGUUAAGUGACUGGAGUCACGGAGCCGCAGGGAAACCGAGUGUUAAUAGCGCGUAUGAAGUUGCAUGCAGUAGACCCGAAACCGGGUGACCUAUCCAUGGCCAGGUUGAAGUGACGGUAAAACGUCAUGGAGGACCGAACCGACCCCCGUUGCAAUGGUGGCGGAUGAGCUGUGGAUAGCGGAGAAAUUCCAAUCGAACCCGGAGAUAGCUGGUUCUCCCCGAAAUAGCUUUAGGGCUAGCGUUGUGAUAGAUUAGCGGAGGUAGAGCACUGAAUGGGCUAGGGGCCGAUAAGGUUACUGAACCCUAUCAAACUCCGAAUGCCGCAUAAUCGUUUCACAGCAGUCAGACAGUGUGAGAUAAGUCUCAUUGUCGAAAGGGAAACAGCCCAGACCUACGUCUAAGGUCCCAAAUAUAUGCUAAGUGGAAAAGGAUGUGGAGUUGCGCAGACAACCAGGAUGUUGGCUUAGAAGCAGCCAUUCAUUCAAAGAGUGCGUAAUAGCUCACUGGUCGAGUGGCUCCGCGCCGAAGAUGUAACGGGGCUAAGCAUAUAACCGAAGACUAGGCUGUAAGCAUGAAUUUGAGUUUGCAAACACGGAGAUUCCCAAGGAAACGGAGAUGUUUUUAAGGGCAAGCGACGGCGCCCUUCACAGAACAUUUCAACGAAAGAAAAAGGGAAGAUGCUGCGGAAGGGCGCAGUUUGCAAAUUGAAAUUCAUGCUUACGGGGUAGGGGAGCGUCGUGUACGGGGCGAAGUCUGAGCGAGAGCACAGGUGGACUGUACACGAGUGAGAAUGCCGGAAUGAGUAGCGAGAAUUAUGUGAGAAUCAUAAUGGCCGAAAAUCCAAGGUUUCCUGGGGAAGGUUCGUCCGCCCAGGGUAAGCCGGGAGCUAAGGCGAGGCCGAAAGGCGUAGUCGAUGCACAUACGGUUGAAAUUCCGUAGCCGCCGACAAUUUAAACCGCGGGGACACUUGAAGAUAUCCGAACCCAGGCGUUGGUCGACCUGGGCGUAAGGGACCGAAAUUUAAGUAGGGAAGUCGGAGACUCUUUGAGGCGAGAAAAGCCGCGGCGUAUACUAAGGCGCCCGUACCGCAAACCGACACAGGUGGAUGAGGAGAGAAUCCUAAGGCCAACGGGAGAAGGGUUGUUAAGGAACUCGGCAAAUUGACCCCGUAACUUCGGGAAAAGGGGUGCCCCCUACGGGGGGCCGCAGAGAAUAGGCCCAAGCGACUGUUUACCAAAAACACAGGUCUCUGCUAAGUCGAAAGACGACGUAUAGGGGCUGACGCCUGCCCAGUGCCGGAAGGUUAAGAGGAGAGCUUAGCAGCAAUGCGAAGGUUUGAAUUGAAGCCCCGGUGAACGGCGGCCGUAACUAUAACGGUCCUAAGGUAGCGAAAUUCCUUGUCAGGUAAGUUCUGACCCGCACGAAUGGCGUAACGAUUUGGGCACUGUCUCAACAGCCCGCCCGGCGAAAUUGUUGUACCGGUGAAGAAGCCGGUUACCCGCGACUAGACGGAAAGACCCCAUGGAGCUUUACUGCAGCUUGAUAUUGGAUCUCGGUAUUUCAUGUACAGGAUAGGUGGGAGGCGUCGAAGCAAGGCCGUCAGGUUUUGUGGAGCCACCCUUGGGAUACCACCCUUGGAGUGCUGGGGUUCUAACCUGCGCCCGUGAAUCCGGGCGGGGGACACUGUCAGGUGGGCAGUUUGACUGGGGCGGUCGCCUCCAAAAGAGUAACGGAGGCGCUCAAUGGUUGGCUCAGCACGGACGGAAAUCGUGCAUAGAGUGCAAACGCAUAAGCCAGCCUAACUGCGAGACCGACGGGUCGAGCAGUAACGAAAGUUGGAGUUAGUGAUCCGGCGGUAUGUGAGUGGAAAUGCCGUCGCUCAACGGAUAAAAGCUACCCUGGGGAUAACAGGCUGAUCUCCCCCAAGCGUCCACAGCGACGGGGAGGUUUGGCACCUCGAUGUCGGCUCGUCACAUCCUGGGGCUGUAUUCGGUCCCAAGGGUUCGGCUGUUCGCCGAUUAAAGUGGCACGCGAGCUGGGUUCAGAACGUCGUGAGACAGUUCGGUCCCUAUCUGUCGUGGGCGUAAGAGAUUUGAGAGGAGCUGUCCCUAGUACGAGAGGACCGGGAUGGACGUACCUCUGGUGCACCAGUUGUCGUGCCAACGGCACAGCUGGGUAGCUAUGUACGGACGAGAUAAACGCUGAAAGCAUCUAAGCGUGAAACUUCCCUCAAGAUGAGAUCUCUCACAUCGUAAGGUGGUAAGGCCCCAUGUAGACUACAUGGUUGAUAGGCCGGAGGUGUACGCAUGGCAACAUGUUUAGCUGACCGGUACUAAUAGGCCGAGGGCUUGACCUU